Pantherophis guttatus is the source of this 729-nucleotide long non-coding RNA. RefSeq lists it as uncharacterized. Lineage: Eukaryota; Metazoa; Chordata; Lepidosauria; Squamata; Colubridae. The record is from RefSeq and is a predicted model, not a curated record.
GGGGAUGAAGUGCUCCUUCGUGAUUGGGUCCACGGCAUGUUGAAUGAUAUAGUGCUGUACAGUAGUGAAGUUCGGUGUGCUUUUUUUUAUAUUAUUCAGGUUUCCCUUUUAUUCAAAAUAGCAAUAAAGAAGAUGUGGGAUAGAUGGGCCUUCCCUUGCUUCGUGCUUCUAACUAGAUUUUGGCCUAAAAAAAUUAUAAUGGAACUAAAUGAGGAUUCUGGGAGUUGUAGUUGAACAUAUCUGGCAGGCACUCUAUUUGGAAAUAGGCUCCAGACAUUUUGCUGCUAAGGCUGAGCAUAUUAUCACUUGAUGAUAACUCAAAAGGUGCAUAAUAGGCAGAAGAUAAGAUGCCAGUAGGAGAACUAAAAAGGAUUUCAUUUCCUUCUCCAUUUCCCCAAUUCUUAGGAUGCUCCCUGCAAAAUGGCUCAUGAAAAGAAAAACACCUCAAGCAAGGACAUCAAAGCCUUUAUUGAGAAAGAAAAAAGCACCAAUGAACAAAGCAACUAUCUCUACCUCAGGGGACUAAGGGACCCACAGAAUGGAGAAAGGGGGAUGCUGGCUGGGAAAUUCUGGGAGUUGAAGUCCAUACAUUUUAGAGUUGCUGAGAUUGAGAAACACUGCCUUAAUGUGUGUGUGUGUUCAUCUUUUUUCAAACUUCCACACAAGCCUGAAAAAAAUAUGAUGCUUUAAUGAAUCAUAAAUUGUUUAAUAAAUGAUUAAGGCAGCACA